Molecule: long non-coding RNA, 586 nt
Organism: Osmerus eperlanus (European smelt)
Lineage: Eukaryota; Metazoa; Chordata; Actinopteri; Osmeriformes; Osmeridae
Exons: 4
Source: RefSeq, a predicted model, not a curated record
GGGAAGGGACACAGUUCUCACCAGACCAGAGAACAGACCACAGUGCACAGACCACCAAUGACAUUGGGAAACCUGCUGUGCCUCUUCUUCGGUCAGUGGGCGUCUCACAGGAGCCCUGGAGAGUGCAUCAGCUGUGAUGAGCGCCUUCCCUGGCACGGCCAGUAGUGGUUUAUGGUCUGUCUCUAUCGUGAAUGAUAAGCCUAUGAGAGAGACUUCGAGAAAUGUAUGCGAUUGGACGCCACUCCAUGUGUCUCUGCAUAAGGACAGCACCCAGGCCAAAGGAUGAUGCGUCUGCAGACACUUUUGUUUUGGCUAGUGGUCUGUACUGAGCCAACACUCUCUGUGAUGCCAGCUCCUUUUUGAGAUUUUCAAAUGAUGUCUGUUGCAUUUGGCCCCAAGACCACUCAUUGUUCUUUGAUAGCAAGUCUCUGAGCGGUUUGGUGGUGCAAUGCAAUGUAUGUGACCAUUCCCAAGAAACGGCUAACAUCUGCUGUAUUCUGUGGGAUGGGCAUGUCUGUGAUAGCUCUGAUUUUCCCGGGGUCAGGUUCUAUGGCUCCAGCACUGAUUUUGUACCAGCAUGUUUUUC